Molecule: ribosomal RNA, 563 nt
Filed under: uncultured Glomeromycotina
Lineage: Eukaryota; Fungi; Glomeromycota
Description: SSU rRNA
Rfam family: Eukaryotic small subunit ribosomal RNA
Source: RNAcentral
UUGGAGGGCAAGUCUGGUGCCAGCAGCCGCGGUAAUUCCAGCUCCAAUAGCGUAUAUUAAAGUUGUUGCAGUUAAAAAGCUCGUAGUUGAAUUUCGAGAUCAGUACGCUGGUCGUGCCUUCGGUAUGCACUGGUGUCACUGGUUUCCCCCUUCUGAAGAACCGUUAUGCCAUUCAGUUGGUGUGGCGGGGAAUCAGGACUGUUACUUUGAAAAAAUUAGAGUGUUUAAAGCAGGCUCGCGCUUGAAUACAUUAGCAUGGAAUAAUGAAAUAGGACGUUUGACCCUAUUUUGUUGGUUUCUAGGAUCGACGUAAUGAUUAAUAGGGAUAGUUGGGGGCAUAGUAUUCAAUUGUCAGAGGUGAAAUUCUUGGAUUUAUUGAAGACUAACUACUGCGAAAGCAUUUGCCAAGGAUGUUUUCAUUAAUCAAGAACGAAAGUUAGGGGAUCGAAGACGAUCAGAUACCGUCGUAGUCUUAACCAUAACUAUGCCGACUAGGGAUCGGAUGAUGUUAAUUUUUUAAUGACUCAUUCGGCGCCUUACGGGAAACCAAAGUGUUUGGGUUC